Molecule: ribosomal RNA, 505 nt
Filed under: uncultured beta proteobacterium
Lineage: Bacteria; Pseudomonadati; Pseudomonadota; Betaproteobacteria
Description: bacterial SSU rRNA
Rfam family: Bacterial small subunit ribosomal RNA
Source: RNAcentral
GUCGGAUUAGCUAGUAGGUAGGGUAAAGGCCUACCUAGGCGACGAUCCGUAGCUGGUCUGAGAGGAUGAUCAGCCACACUGGGACUGAGACACGGCCCAGACUCCUACGGGAGGCAGCAGUGGGGAAUUUUGGACAAUGGGGGCAACCCUGAUCCAGCCAUUCCGCGUGAGUGAAGAAGGCCUUCGGGUUGUAAAGCUCUUUCGGACGGAACGAAACGGUCAGGACUAAUACUUCUGACUAAUGACGGUACCGUAAGAAGAAGCACCGGCUAACUACGUGCCAGCAGCCGCGGUAAUACGUAGGGUGCGAGCGUUAAUCGGAAUUACUGGGCGUAAAGCGUGCGCAGGCGGUUAUUUAAGACAGGUGUGAAAUCCCCGGGCUUAACCUGGGAAUUGCGCUUGUGACUGGAUAGCUAGAGUGCGGCAGAGGGGGGUGGAAUUCCACGUGUAGCAGUGAAAUGCGUAGAGAUGUGGAGGAACACCGAUGGCGAAGGCAGCCCCCUGG